CUGUCCAUAGAACACUUGGUGUAAAAACCCAAGAAAUUGCAUGAUCUAACAUCAUCUCAUGCGUUUGAGUAGUUAGGGUUUGGAUCUUUCUUGUUCUUCAUGCAAUUGGCAAUUGUUUUGAUGCCUAUGGCCCAAGGACAUUCCUUGGCAAUUUGUUGAUUAGUAAUUGAUUAGAGGACGUUCCCUAAUCAAUUUGUUCAUAAGGAAAGACAUGGUGGUGAGAAGCGUCUUCCACCCCCAUAACCAACCUAUUGAAUCAAUCAAGAUAACCAUGUUUCAAUGAUCAACCCAAACAACCAAAGUGGAUCC
This 309-nucleotide long non-coding RNA is filed under the name Manihot esculenta (cassava). Its description in RNAcentral is "long non-coding RNA (MESC_LNC003379)". Lineage: Eukaryota; Viridiplantae; Streptophyta; Magnoliopsida; Malpighiales; Euphorbiaceae. The record is from RNAcentral.